Molecule: ribosomal RNA, 928 nt
Filed under: uncultured bacterium
Lineage: Bacteria
Description: bacterial SSU rRNA
Rfam family: Bacterial small subunit ribosomal RNA (bases 189-913)
Source: RNAcentral
GGGUACGCACUGGGGUCCCAAUCAGGGGAAUCCGGGUUACCCCAACUCCCUAAAUUUAGCUUAUCCUGGGGCGAGGGAUCCGAGUGAGUGAAUUGUAGUUUCGAAGACACAGUGCGAGGCGCUCCUGACAGUAUGCGUGAGUUGGAAACGUGGAGCAACAGGAUAGUCCCCUGUAUCACGCCGUUACGAGAUACUACUGUCUGGCACACGUGCUUGGUGCGCACAUAUACACUAUAUAUCUCUCGUGAGUACGUGUCACGAUUAUACUCAUAGGAGUGUCGCGGCGUGCUCAAGAGCGGAGCACAUGUGUAUAUUUAGCAGCACGCAGAGAUCCUCACAUCUUGACUCAUGGUGGCGGGGAUGAGAGAUAUCUCUCUCUCAUUUGGGGUGGCACAGUCACAGGUGGCACAUGUCUGUUCUCAUCUCGUCUCGUGAGAUGUUGGUAUAUGUCGCGCAGCGAGCGCACCUCUUCUCUUUAGUUCCCCUCAUUUAGUUGGGAUCUAUAAGGAAACCCCCGGUGAUAAGCCGGAGGAAGGUGGGGAUGACGUACAAGUCUUCAGUGGCCUCUUCCGAGGUCUGGGCUCACACACCUGUGCUCACAAGUGGGCGAUGCACAGUGGCGCAGGCGAAUCUCGCGAGGGGUGACGCUAAUCUCCAAAAGUCGUUUCAGUUCGGAUUGUUUUCUGCAACUCGAGAGCAUGAAGGCGGAAUCGCUAGUAAUCGCGGAUCAGCAUGCCGCGGUGAAUACGUUCCCAGGCCUUGUACACACCGCCCGUCACGCCAUGGGAGUUGGGUUCACCCGAAGGCGUUGCGCUAACUCGCAAGAGAGGCAGGCGACCACGGUGGGCUUAGCGACUGGGGUGAAGUCGUAACGAGGUAGCCGUAGGGGAACCUGCGGCUGGACACCUCCUUAAGCGUGGAUCCCGGG